AGUCAUGGCUUUCACCAAGCUGAAAAACAAGCUUUAAUGUGAAGAUCCACACAAGACCAAACUUGAUGAGAAACGUGGGGUGUUGCUAUGGCAAUUCCAUUUGCUGGAACUUUUCUCUGUUGGCUUCACUCUGACAUUACAUUCUAAAAAGAAUCACAUGAAAAGGUGUAUUGGCUGUGAAGACAAAUGUGAAGCCAAGAAGAUGGAAAUUUCUCAUCUUUCCUUCUCUAGAAGACAGAACAUGUAGUUAUAUUGUAAUGCCACCCCAAAUACAGUCAGAGGGCUGGCUGGAGAGUUGUCAUUCUGAGAUUUCAUUGAAACGCUGGGGUCUAUUUCUGUUUGACUUAAGUGCAAAAUUGGCAGUGUCAGGGUUAUGAGUGAAAUUACAAUGUGAAGAAAAAUGCUUAGGCUAAACUGAAAAAUAUUAAGGUGCUGACUCCCAAGAAAAACGAAGCUCUGCUUCUUGUGAUUGUGGUUGUAUUACUUUAUUUUUAACAGAAUGUUGAUAUAUUAAAAUCUCAUUUAUAUGUAAGCUAAUAAAGCAAAUGAACCCAUGUUUGAACAUCUCUGGUGGAGAAGGGAGUUUUGUUAACUCAAUGCUGUUUCUUUGCAGAUAGACCUUCCUUUUGGAGGAUAUUAAUCAAAUUGUUUUAAGCAGCCAACUCAAUCAGAAUCUGAUUGUCAAACACUUUUUCCUGACUAAUAACUUGAACUCUUCACAAACAGCACUAUGAAGUAAACUGUAUUAUCAUCUCCAUUUUACAUAUGAAGAAAGGGAGGUGCAGAUAGAAGUAACAGAACUAAUGUCAAUCACUGACAAGAAAGGAAAUCUCUACCAGAUAUAUCCCCCAUUGCCCACCUGAGACAAGGAAGCGGUUGUAAGUCUUGCAAGGUGCUGGAGAAAUAUUUCUGUCUUACUGAGGUAUAAUGAAGAAAGUGCACAGAGGGUAGUGCUCAGCUAAACACAUCCAUAUCAGGAGCCCCCAGGUGAAGCAACUUGAAACUAAACCAGCUCUCCAAAGCCGCUAAUUUCCUUUUACAAGUUCUCAAGACAGUGUUGCUAUAAAAGCUGUCUGACCAUGCCCAGCUCUCUCCGACUUCCUGUAUGAAGAUGUGAUUGCUCUUGCAAGAGAUUCCACUAGUGUCAUCCACCAUGAUGCGGCACAGCCGAGAGAGCCCUUGUCAGAACUGAGAAGAUACCACACCCUGGAACUUUCAGAACUGUGAGCUAAAUAAAUGUCUGCACUCCAUAAAUGGACUGCCUUGGGUAUGUCAUUGUGGGGACACGAAGCUAAUACAGAAGCCUCUUAGAGUCUGUUGGAAGCACGCUGAAGGAGAAAAGUCAGGCAGUGACUGAUGACACAACACCUAUCUCAGUACUCUUGAGUCACUCUUGGAAGGAAAACGUACUAAACUGCAGUAGUAAUUGGAAGCCAGAAAAGUUGGUCAAGUGCUCAGUAUUAAAGCUACUCUUACAGAUGAGAAGUCACACAAAGAUAGAGGUAAUCAACACUUUUUGAUGGAUGAGAGAAGAUUCCGGUAAAGACACCAAACCUGAGGCUCGCCUACCAAAUACCAGUUUGGUUUUCUAUUUUGCCAAUUCAAUUUUGAUUCUUUCUUUCGUGAUUCUGGAUGGAGACCCGUUGGAGUGCAGUGCAAAAAAUCAGAGGAAGAAUCAAUUGUCUUAAACCAAUAUUGUCUGUGGCACGUUGUUGCCAAGCUAGGAAACUUCAGCCUCAGAAAACUUGCAGAAAAAGACACAAUCAUAGUGCGCCUGUGUGGAUGGAGCCAUAGAAGCAAACUUUGCCUGGGAUUGUGCACACAUAUCUGGGUAUAGAGAUUUUAAUGUAAAAUCUACUUUUCGGAAAUAGCAGAUAGAUGAAUGCGAUUUUCCCAGAUACUAGGAUUCCUUUGUAAUGCCUCGUUCUUACAUCGAUGCUCAAAAUCACUGUUAAAUUAACCUUAUUUGCUGUGGUUUCAGUUUAAUACGAACAGUGAAGUAAAAACACCCCGUGCUCUUUACUAUCUAUUACGCAACCCAAUCUCAUGCUGUUUACCUGGAAAACCUCUAAGGAGGAGUCAAGCUUAAAAGGAAAUUACUCAAAAUGUUUUGUAGCAUGUGGUAUGUCUCAGAGGGAAGUGAUAGAUAUGCCACAUUGGUUUGUUUUUUUGUCUUUUAAGCUGGGCUUGCUGGAGCUAGAGAAGCCGAGUGUGAGAUACCUUACACUUCGGGGGCGGGGGAAGCCUUCCAAGGCAGCCACAUCUGCUCCCCAGAGGAUAUGCUGCACCCUCCCAUGCCUGGGCUUUCAUUCUGCUGUGUUUUGUCAAUAUUCUUAACAAACAGAACUCAGAUUAUACCAUGACAAGGUAUAGAAAAGAGUAGAAAAUGAACUUACAUUCUAAAAUUUGUUUUCGAAAAUGUGCUUAAACAACUCAACACUCUCUAAUAAGUACAUAGUAGGAAUUUGGAUCAGGUGAACCUCAUAUAUAAUUAAUUUCCCUUUCUCUUUUUUUUUUCAUUAUUCAGAGUCUGCUUUUUUUGCUUUUUUUCCUUCCUUCUGCUUACUCUAAAUGGAAAACUAUUUUCUCUACAAUAAUGCAGACAGUGAAUUUUAUAAGUCAGCUCUUCUAUCUAUAUAUAUUAUAGACUCCCAUUAAGCUUUAGGUUCCAGGGUACUACAUGAUUGUGUGUAGAUUUUUAUGAAGAUUAAAUGUGAUCAUAAUAUUUGUGAAGCUCAUGGCAAUUUUUGGACAUAUAACAGGUGUGUAGGAAAUACUACCUAUAAAUUGUACCUGACCCUGACCCCCAAAUUUAAAAAAGCCUCAGGGGACAUAGGUGUUAGGAAACAAUUCAAUUUAAUAAUAGAUUAUCAAAAGUGGUGACGUUGCUUCAGCCAUCAGUUAACAUCAAGGGCAUAAAGACAGGAGUACAACAGUGAAAAUGUCAUUCAUCUGGAAAGAAGAGAAUUAGGAAAUAAUGUUAUAUGCAAAACUGAGAAAAAAAGAGAUAAUAUUGUAGCAAGAGGAAUUGCCAUUUCUUGAGUGUAUGUUGGGUACUAAGCACUUUCUGUGAUUCUCUCUUUUAUUGACUCAGAACAAAUGUGCAGAGGUUUUAUGAUGGUCUACAAUUUCUAUUGGAGGAAACUGGGGCUCCUGGAGUUGGAGAAUCAAGUUCUAGUUAUGUCCGUUUAAAUCACAAAGCACUUUCCAAUGUCCUUAGGAAACCUUUCUCCCAAUGCUUACAUCUCUGCAAUCACACACUGAUACAUGUGAUGUUUGGGCCGGCGCCGCGCCUCACUAGGCUAAUCCUCUGCUUGUGGCGCCGGCACCUGGAAUUCUAGUCCUGGUUGGGGCGCUGGAUUCUAUCCCGGUUGCUCCUCUUCCAGUCCAGCUCUCUGCUGUGGCCUGGGAAGGCAGUGGAGGAUGUCCCAAGUGCUUGGGCCCUGCACCGGCAUGGGAGACCAGGAGAAGCACCUGGCUCCUGGCUUCAGAUCACUGCAGCGUGCCAGCCAUGGCAGCC
Oryctolagus cuniculus (rabbit) is the source of this 3520-nucleotide non-coding RNA. NCBI's taxonomy places the organism in Eukaryota, Metazoa, Chordata, Mammalia, Lagomorpha, Leporidae. The record is from RefSeq and is a predicted model, not a curated record.